AAGACAUAUUUCUUCUUUUAAUCUUUUUGCUGUUAACGUGCAGAAGUUCGGCGUUUCGUGUAUGUAGGUUGCAUGGCAGAAGAGAUAAGCACCAGCAGAUAAAGUCCAAAACGUCAGUGCAGAUGGGGUUCAACCUGUUCUCCCUUUGGGGGGGACUUAUCAAGAACUGGGAGGAGUAGAGAAGGCAGCUGGCUUUCCAGAUAACAUACUUAACCUUAUAGGACCUUUCAAAAAAUAUAGCAAGUAUACUGAGGUGCUGUUUGCUGCAUUUCUAGUACUCUUUUAACAUAACAACCGCAGAAAGGGGAAAAUAAGAUGGAUAUAACACCAGUGACUGGCAGUGCAUUCUAUAUAGGACUGUUGCAGAAAUGAAGAGGUUACAAGGGUCCAGCUGUAGCUGGGCUCUGUACAUCCAGGAAUUCUUCACUUGGACAGCCGGUCAUAAUGGUGUCUUCAUAUCUUUCCCACUGCAGAAACUGCUCUAUUUCCUGUGACAAUAAUCUCCUGGAACAGGCCAGGAAAAGACAAACCUCAAAAAGGGGAAAUCCUGGAAAUCCUCCCCUACCCUUUCCCUGGAAAUGGGGAGAGGGAUCUGCAGGAAAAAAAACACUCCUGCCAAGAAUGAUUUGGCACAGGCGAUGACGAAGCGAUCUAUGGUGAGCCUAUGGAGAGCUGACAUCUAGGAAAGUCUCCCUGGCCAUCUGAAGCCUUCUGCUCUUUCUGGUACAUCCCUGCAACACUGAGCGUAAGAAGGCUAUGAUCAUCACAGAGGAACUCUCUUCCCUGAAUAAGGACUCAAGACACUCAGUCUUCAAAGUGCAAAAGAAAUUAACUGCGACUUGGAUUUCUCUUUGCCACCUUAGACACCAAAAUGCAACAUUUCACUCUACCUUAUUUUAGAGUCAUCCAAAUCCACAGUCACUUACAUGCUCAUUAGCAAAGUUCCCUAGGUACAUAAAGUUUUACCUUUGAGCACAUCCAGAAAUGCCUCAAUUUCAACAAUAUCUAAUUCUCAGGAACCCAUUCAUGCAUAACACCUUUGAGCUUUGCUAAUGAGAUCCUCUCCAUCUCCCUUGCCCAGCUGAUUUUCAGAGCACAUCUAUUAGAUAAGGCCCGGCACAAAAUAGUGGUGGUUGUUGCAGCGCCUCACACCUCUAAUGACCUUCAACAACUUGAGCCUUCAGAGAAGGAAGAGCAAAGCCCAGACUCAUUUAAUUUCUUUGUCUAUGAGGAUUUGAAUCCACAACUCUAAUUUUCUAAGAGAGUACCUAAUAACAGGCUGGAGCAGAGGUCUCUUAACUUCCACUAUUCAGGGAAUAAUUAAGUAUUCAUUAGGUCAGAGGCAGGAAAGAGGAACAAGAUGCGAUUAACUCUAAGUGGCUAAGGCUUUCAGGUAGAAGAAAAAAGGCCUAGGUUUCCUGCUGAACAGGAGUACUUCUUUUCAAAUAUUUAAAUGUUGGAUUAGAGGAAAGAGGAACGUGAGAUCUCCCUUCUCCCAGAUGAGAAUCAUAAGUAAGCACUGAACUAUAGUGACAUGCUGACUCUUUUUUUUUCUUUUUUUUUUUUUCCUAGGGCUCAAUGAGUAUUUAAUGAGCCCAUGAGAAGGGAAACAGCUUCUACAAGAGAAACUGAGAACAGCUUUCUCUUUUUCAUACCAGAUUAUCUUCUGGUCCACUGAUUUGGGAUCUCUUAUGGAAAAUGUAGGUUCAAAUGCCCUAUACCACAGGAAUGAAUUGAAUCAAGUUGUCUCUUUUUGCAUAAAUACUCAGCUAUGUCCACUUAUGGCAAGAACCACUGCUAAGGCUGUGAGGAGGACUGGCAGAGGGGCCUAACAUCAAGGAGAGGUUGGGCAGUUUGAAAUCUCUAUGGGCACAGGGGAAUCUUCUCAUCAGUUUCUGAUGGCUAAUGUUGGGCCACCCGAUCAGCCUGCUUUUGGGAAAUCAUACGCCUAGAGCCUGCCUCUUCCUGUGCAUUGCAUGGGAAGCCUAAGCGUGUAACACAGGGCUGAGGUACUCCAAAAGUUGGAUUCUUUAAUAACCAGUUAAAAUUUCUUUGUGAGCCUAGCUCUGGAUUUCACAUGUUCAGUCUCUACUGUAGAAGGCUGUAUUUCAGGAAGGAAAACCAAAAGAAUUGUUGCUAUUUUAUAUUGUUGCUAAAAUGCAGAGGUUUCUGGACAUCUUCCAGAGGUGAGUGUUAGUUUAGUGGGUCAGUUGCCAAGAAAACUCUGCUUCUUGCACAUGCAGGCUUUGCUCUUGAAAUAAUGACACCAUGAAUCACAAUGGAUGUCGCUGUCAUGAGAGAUUAUGCUUAGACUUACUUUUCCCUUCAGGUAACUUGAUUCCAGGGAGCUAAAAUCUUGAAUGUGAGCUCAUGCAUAUAGUUAAAGAUUUAAGUACCAGCUAAGCUCUGGAGUGAGCUCUCUCACUAAACAGUAUUUCCAACUGAAUGGGCUAUAUAGUCUGAGGCAAAGAAUAGACAAUAAAAAUCCGUGGUUUCAGAGUUAGGUUUAAAGAUUUUUCUCAACAGGCCCAAAACUUACAAAAAUGGAUAAGUCAACAUCGGAGAGAAGUGUCUACAGUCAUAUCCAUCAAAGGAAGACUUUCUUAGCCAUAACUCUUUGGGUAUUCAAGCAAGGAGCUAGGCAUUUUCAAUGUUUAAAUAGCUUUCCAGAGGAAGAGGAGACAAAUGGGUCCUUGUCAAAAUGAAGUAAAUGUUGGAAGCAAAAUGUCUGUUAGAGAAAAAACUGUCUUUCUUUUAGAAAAUGAGCUUGAGCAAAGAUUUUCAACUAUUUGAAACUAUGUGAAACUGAGUGAUUCAGUUCAGUAUGAAAAUUUUGUAUCAAAGAGAAAAAUAUUAAUUUUAAUUGCUAUUCCAUCAUGCCAUUUCUGACUCUUCUCAGAGUUUGAGAAAUAGUCAGCGUCAACAGAGUGAAUCAUUCAUGCUGCUUAUAGCCCUGUUUGGCAAACUGCAAACAGCUAUCUCCUGGGACUCCAUUCCCGUCUGUACAUUUAUCCCUACCGGAGGCCUUAGCUAAAAUAAGGAAACCACAUUUGCAAUGUGCAUUUAUUCUGCUUUCUGACAAAAUAAGAGUAGAUGAAUAUAAAAAGUCUUCUGGGGAUGGGAUGUGGGACAUUUUGGACAAUGAGGGUAUCUGAGAAGAAUCUUUUAAGAUAUUGGAAGGGUGUUCAAGAAUGUGGGGUAGAAGUGUGGUCAGCAGAGGAAUUUAUGUGGAAACUUGCUGUAGUCCUUGCAGCAAACACAUAAGGCUUUCUAUAUUUGGAAUCAAAGGUAAAGUCAACAGCUAAUCCAGACUAGCAGAGUUUGUUCCUCACUUCUAAUUCGAGCAAUUUACGCACUUUUCACAUACAAUCCAGCUUUCAUUUUCCGCUCCACAGUUUUUUGCAGAACCACUAUCCUUUCAUUGCUUCUUUAAGGCUAUUGAAUCUAUCCCGGGACUAGAAAUCGACUCUGUAGGAAUAUUACGGCAUGAAACGCACAAUGUGUUUCUAUGUUACUAUGUGAAGUAACUGUAGUGGAAAAACUGUCGUAUUUUCUAAGAGACUGAGCAGUGUACAGUUAAAUCUGGAGAGAAUCUGAAUGCAUGUACUCUCCAUUGAUGUACUCUCCAUUGAUGUCAGCUCUCAGGACAUAGUCCUAUGAAUUGAAAGCUGUUUGAAGAAGUGUUGUAGAGCAGCAGUGAGCUGGUAGAUUUAAAAUAGAUGGAUUAAGAAUUUAAUGAUAUAUGGGAGCAUGUUACCUGAAAGGAUGACAUUUUUAAUGUGUCCUGUUACGUUGCUAUGUGUUCAGAGCUACUCUACAAAGUGUAUUGGGUGUUUCUGCAGUGUUUUAAUCCAAAAGUUCUGCCUCAUGCAUCCUAAGAAACAGAGUUGUUUUAAUUGUUCUGAUAGGUAAUUUUGAGCUACUACUUCCCUUUAAAAGCCCUAAUAAAAAGCUAGUGAAAGCACAUCUCUAGUCACUCUUCUGGGACUAUCUGAGACUACCUGAACUGGAGAGAUGGAAUGACAUUAAUCCUGUUGCUUCUGAUGCUGUCUCAAUGAAUCAGUCUGUUCUGUCCUUGACCGGUGCCUUUCCCCAUGUUAUCGCCUAUAACAGAACGCACUGGACUUUGACUGCCAACUCUAUCUAAAAGUAUCUGAAAUUUCUGUUAUCUGGAUUCAGUUUAUUUUCUAAGGGGAAGUCACUUUGAAAUGUUCUAAAUGUCCUUGAUUCCCUCAAAUAUGCAUUUGCUUCCCCAGCUUCACUUAUUCAGUGAUUACUGA
Dromaius novaehollandiae (emu) is the source of this 4280-nucleotide long non-coding RNA. RefSeq lists it as uncharacterized. The record is from RefSeq and is a predicted model, not a curated record. NCBI's taxonomy places the organism in Eukaryota, Metazoa, Chordata, Aves, Casuariiformes, Dromaiidae. The transcript has 3 exons.